CUCCUCCUCCCGCACCCGCGCCUCCUUCUCCUCCCGCGCGCCUCCUCUCCUCCCGCCCACAUCGCCGCCGCCGCCGCCGCCGCCACCCACCGCCUCCCGUCGGCAUCCAUCCACUGCUCCGGCGCCAUCCAGAUGCACCGCAACAGAGCCUCCCAGCCCUGGGGCAAGAAUAGAGAUGGCAGCGAUGGCCGGAUCCGAAGACGGCGGGGCGGCGACCACUCCCGUGAGACUCGGCGGCAAGCAGCGCGCACCGAGGGGUCGAAGGGCGCUCCGGAUCCAGAUCCGGGCGCGGUGGCGGCCAUGGCCGAGCUUGAGCCGGGGCGCGGUGGCGGCCAUGGCCGAGCUUGAGCCGGAGUGCGAGGAGGACGGCGCUGACGUCAAGAUCGCGCACAUCGAGCCCGAGAUCCUGCGCCUCUCCUCCAGUUUCCUCCACCUCCGCGUCUUCCGGGGCCAUGACGCGCAGCCAACUGGGACAGGGCCACGGGCGAGGGGGGGGAGGCCUCGCACCCCUCGAUCUGGACGGGGCCGUGGCCUGCCUCCACCACCGCCAGCCCGCCGCCGCGGCGCGCCUUGCCGGCCGACGCCUCCGCUGCCCCGCCGCUAAUACAGGAGCCGACGCCUCCCUGGAGCAGCCGCUCCCGCCUAGCAACGCCGCCGCCCGAAGCUGCGCCGACGACCCGUCCAGAGGCAGAUGAUUGAUCAACAGACCUACCUAUGAAGGUAGAGUGGAAGAACUGGAAAUAAAGAUGCAGGGGAAGGACAAUGAUGCUGCAACAUCACUUGUUUCAUGGCAUAAAGAGAUAGAGGCACUUGAAUCUGAGCUCUCAGAGACCAAAGUUCUUGCACAGCAGAAAUCAUUUGAGCUUUUACUCUUAUAGCCAAGUUUCAAGAUGCGCAGGCAACUACAUGUGAUGCAGAAUCUAUAGUCAAGGCACUGGUGGAAGGGAGUCAAAAUGCAAAACUCCAAGUAGAGAACUACAAACAAAAGGAAACUUCAAGUGGAUUACAGGAGUGUGCUUUGGCUGGAUCCUACUAGGGAUGAAAUGUUUUUCUCAUUUGCACUGCUCAUAUAUCAAAUUGUUUAUACUGCAAGUAUUUCUGUUUAUUGUUCUCAUGUUGCCAACUCCAUGUAUUUCUAGGUUAUUACAUGUCUUUUUUGGUAAUAUAUACUGCAAGUUCAUACAUACUGCAAGGUCAUACGCAUUUCAAAUCCAUAUAUACUGCAAGGUCAUGUGUAUUUCAACUCCAUAUAUAUUGCAAGUCUGCAACUUGCAUUUUAGAAAACUCAAAUUUAGAUUGCUCUGUUCCAGGAUUUAAAUCUUCUUGAGUUUUCCAAUCACAAAUAUCUUGCAUGCAUGGAAAGAAAAUUGGAUGUUCUUAAUCACAGAAAGGUGUUUUUUACACGUAGGUGCCUUCUUUAAAUCUAUGCAUUUUGUUGACCAUUCUAUGAUUUUAUAAUUAGAAAAUGGAUGUUAGCUACACUAUUAGAAGGUGAUCCCACUCAGCCAAUAGCAGAUCUGCAUAAAUUAAUUUCUUUAUGCAACAAAUUACUUUUAUGCACAGAUGUAUUUUAGCUUACACUAACCUGACCUUUAUGCUGAUGCUUCUGUUAUUUAUGAAUACCUCCUUUACUCUUGGCCAUGAUGGGAAGAGUUUUAAGACAUCUAAAAGGGUCAGAUUAUUGAUUGUUCUUUUCCUUUGACCCUCCUACAAGAACUUAUGUGCUGGAAUGUUGGGAGUGUUAACUCCACGGGUCUCAAAUCUGAAAAUAUUUACAGGGGCCUUCGUUGCCACGAUCAUUACUGUGUAGAACUUUCUUACUCUAGAGUGGCAUCCAAAUUAUGAAUAAGAAAUGGACAAACGGGUUGUAUACUAUUUGUUUCAUGAGCAGUCAGAAAGCUCAUGCCGGAUGCUGGUGUGCCUGAACAUUUUUGUGUCCUCGAUCGAAAGUGUCUUGCAGUUAGUUUACUUCUAUUGUUUGUUGGCGGCUGUUUUACUUGAAGUGCCUCUAUUAAGUAGAGGCUCAGUGAAUGUACGGUCUGAAAAGCUUGUGCUAUGUCACUGAUUUCUUGGUGCGAUCCAUGGUGGUGCAGGUGCAGAGAAGCGCGGAGGACAGCUCGGUGGUAGAGGCGACAUACGAGGGUGAGCACAACCACCUGCGCCCCAUGGGGGCGGUGAGCCGAGCUGCGCAACGCGUGCGGAGGCUUGGUGUUGUGCUCCAUCUCCAUCAACUCCUCCGGCCCAACCACUAUGCUGGACCUCACCAAGAACCUGGGAGGCGUGCAGGUUGUCGAGGCAGGGGAGGCGCAACCGGACCUGGAUAAGGUGUGCCUGGAGGUCGCGUCGCCAGAGUUCCAGGCGGCUUUGGUGCUCCGAGUCAAACCUCAUCCGCACCGCCUGCUUCUGCUUCGGGCGCGAGCGCCCAGAGAUUGUCAGGUAUCUGUCAAGAUGGGAUAUUCAGGUCACUCUGCGUAGUGGGUGCCUCAUCAUUUACAGGAAAGUUAUUAAUUCUAGGAAGUGAUUGCGUGCUCAUGUAGGACUUGAUGAAGGAGAGUUCAAGUGAUGGAAGAUAUUGUUUCAAUGAUAUUGAAGCUUUUUAGAUACUAUGGCAGUUAAGGUUCAUUUGAAGUCGCGGUUGGAUGCAUGAUUUAUGCAGAAAUGUAUAAGUGCCAUGUAGUGGUUAAUUAGAGGUGUUCUUUGACUAAGAUCAGGCUGCUCCUGCCGUGUCUACCAGUGAAAUGCCUCCUUCCAUGAUAAAGCAGCCUACUCUUAGGUACAGAUCUUGGUGUUGAUUCUGUCUCACCUUUCCAGCCGGAAGUGGUUCGGUUUGCUGCAGGUUUCCUCGGUGUUCAGGAACUGUGCAGAGCCUGAGGAUGAUGUAGGCCGCUGCGCCACCUCUCUUGUCAUCCUGGUCACUGCCUAACUAAUUUCUUUGAUUCAGAGGCUUGUGCCACUACAGGCGUUGCAUGGCAAUCCGCGCUUCUACGAGCAACAACAAAAACAGGGCGAAACAAAGCAAGCACAAAAGAAGAAUUGAGAUGCUACAUACAACCAAUGGUAUCCUUUUAACGCCGCCGCCGGGGGUCCUUCCCCUGAGCCAGGAUCUCUUCUACCCUGCACCGCUGCUGUGAACUCAUCCAUGCUGAUAGUCGGCUCCAUGCUACAACUGCUGCAGCCUGCAGGUAGCAUAUCUAUUGUUCUUUUUUCUCUACCUUAGUUUGUGCUUGCUCUGUUCCAGUUUUUGCAACAAGAUAACCAAUGUCUUGGGAAACCUUCAAACUGUAUUUUAUAUAUUGGUGAAUUCUGCUUGAAGAAUUCAUGGCCCACUCCCCCUCUAAAACUUAAUCAAAUAAAUAUAAUAUUUCUCCUCUACCCUAGCUAUGAGAAAAAUCGUCUAUGUUAAAUAUAUAGUCUUUGCCUUUGUUGUGUACCACUUCUUUCAGAAUAUGACCCUUGUUUCCCUUUAGUUUGCAUCACUUAAUUCUUUGCUUGAGCGACGAUUGUAGAUACUUCCCUUGAAAAAAUAAAGUUUUAGAUACUUGAUCCAUGUUUACGUAAAUGGUUUAUGAUGGUGGUUUGGUUACAUGUUUGUGGCUGGAACAUGUGUACAUCAGAAACUUGAACUACAAUAUGGUAGACAUGUACAGGACCAAGCAAGAAAUUAGAAAUGGUUAGUGCGCUAUGCCUUGAAGAGAGCCAAAAGUAAGAGAGAGGCGAGUGUACAUGACGUGAAGACGACAAGGUACCACUUCCAUGACAAUGUCAACAUCGUCGUGGUCUAUCUUCACCGGCACCGGCACCGGGGGCGCCGUCACAUCAGGGUUACGGAGCAGUAAUUGCAAACAUGGAGCCCCAAAUUAUGAUGGGUUACAGACUUUGCUUAUAAGACAACAUGAACUGACAACUUCAAUUAUAGCAUAUCUGGUAUUUUCAUAUUAUCUUUGUCAUGUGUAGAAUACAUGGUCUGAUAGGGUCAGCGUUUGUAUGAACUUUUGGUGGGUAAAGUGUUCUGUUUCUCAAGCAAGUUCAUCAUUGAACACAAAAUUUUGAUUGUGUUUUCGUGAGUUGUGAGACAUGAAUCUAUUUUAAGGAUGUUGUUGUAUGAAUACAUAUACUAAACCUGGAUUACUACUGACUUAACAUUACUUGCUUGACCAAAACGUAUGGACCGGCAUCCUCACGCCAAGGUGAUUUCCCGUUUUGUG
This 4205-nucleotide ribosomal RNA is filed under the name Triticum aestivum (bread wheat). RNAcentral describes it as "partial small subunit ribosomal RNA". Lineage: Eukaryota; Viridiplantae; Streptophyta; Magnoliopsida; Poales; Poaceae. The record is from RNAcentral.